GUCACGUUCCCACACCUCCCUGGGCUUUGAACUCAGAAUCUGUGAAAAUCCCCCAAAGGCCAUUCAAGAUAAAAGGAACUGAAAAAGCCGCCCGCUCCCAGUGCCUCUCCCAUCAAAGCACAGACGGGAAUUAGAUUCAAGAUUCAAGGCCAGCAGACGGUGGGAGGUCCCCCUCUCUCCACCCAGCCUCAUUCUCCACCAUCCCGUCUCCAGUCUGCUGGAAUUAGCUGGCCGGGAUCACUGCCUCGUGUUUUCAGGAGAAAAAGCAAACCUGACCAUUCAUCAGACAGAGACAGUGGGAAAGCGCUCCCAGCAGCCACUCAGAACUUGGCCGCCUGCACCCCAUUGUUCACGCUCCGGCACUGCUUCCUUUGGUCGUGAACCAGCAGAAGUUGCUGGUUCUGUUUCCCCCAUCAAAGUUCACAUGGCCUGGGUGACUCAUACUGCGGCCACUUCCUUUUGGAUACACUCACCAAAUAUCCACAGUUUGACUCCCAACAGCCAAGAAAUUUCCAUCUGUUCAGAACAUACAAUUAAAAAUCCAUCCAAAGUGAAAGGAACUUAUGACUCAGCAGUGCCCCGAGAGUGACUCACUGGCAGGGAGCCGUCGGCCCGUGUUUCUGGCCCGUGGAGAUGGAGGUCUUUCCCUGACUGUGUUCUUGCUGGGAAAAAGGACUAACGGGGCUUCUCUGUGACAGACCAGGUCCAGUGUCCCCAAGUCACAGCCCUGGGUGUGGGAGAGUUGUCACCAAACCCAGGAACAGAGCUGUCCAGCAGGGGCCGACUCAGGCCGGGAGGGUGACGCUGAGCCCCAAGGAGGUGGGGGUUCUGUGGGGCUUGGCCUCUCCUACUUGAAGGCCAGACCCGACUUCCAGGCUCAGGGCACGAUGCACUUUGGGAUGAGAGAGUGGCCUUUUGUGGGCCCUGGGGGCCCUUGUCGGUGGGACCACCCACCCCUCCUGGGGGCUGCUGUAGUGAUGUUCAAAAGAAAAGAAAACAUUGCCGAGGGUUUCUCAGCGUUUAAAAGCAAAGCACACCUGAGUGUGCGCCUGGCAGCCAA
RNAcentral lists this long non-coding RNA (1060 nucleotides) under Homo sapiens (human). Its description in RNAcentral is "HSALNT0274647". The record is from RNAcentral. Lineage: Eukaryota; Metazoa; Chordata; Mammalia; Primates; Hominidae.